This 73-nucleotide transfer RNA is filed under the name Dufourea novaeangliae. It matches the Rfam family "tRNA". Rfam says of the family: Transfer RNA (tRNA) molecules are approximately 80 nucleotides in length. The record is from Rfam by way of RNAcentral. Lineage: Eukaryota; Metazoa; Arthropoda; Insecta; Hymenoptera; Halictidae.
GGGGGAGUAGCUCAGAUGGUAGAGCGCUCGCUUAACAUGUCAGAGGUACCGGGAUCGAUGUCCGGCGCCUCCA